Molecule: long non-coding RNA, 7308 nt
Organism: Numida meleagris (helmeted guineafowl)
Lineage: Eukaryota; Metazoa; Chordata; Aves; Galliformes; Numididae
Exons: 3
Source: RefSeq, a predicted model, not a curated record
GAGCCGCUUCCUGCCGCCCCGGCCUGGGGACGCGGAGGAGGGAGCGCAGGGGGAGGGGGCGGGAAGUGGAAACGCGCCGGCAGCCGCUGCUACUCAGGCGGCCGCGGAGGGGCCACGGCCUGGCGGCGGCACCGCCGCUCCGCCCCCCGCUCCGCCGCCCGGCUCCGCCAGGGGGAGCUUCGCCGGCCCCGCUUCCUCUUCCUGUAGCACUGGCGCCGGGAGGGGUGGGCACGGGUGGGGUGUCCCGGUUCCCGUCGUGGUGCCGGCAGCGAGAAAUGCGGGGUGUCUGCGGGACGCGGCGGGGUGGGGACCGAGGGAGGCGUCGCCAUCUUAGCCGUAGGGCAGCGAGAGGCGACCCUUGGCGGGCGGUAGUGCCCUGGGGCUUUACGGAGGCCGGCGGGCGCACAGGUCCCCAUCAUUUCACCUCUAUAAAGUUCUGAAAUGUUGGAUAUACCUGUUCCUGACGUGUACGUAUGUGCGUUUAUUUAGGAAGGAGGUAUGCACAUGGUGGACAUGCAUCCUGGGACUUGUUUUCUCUGAAGACAGAGGCGCAGUGCAGCACCCGUGCUGUAAAGCAGCGCUUACUCACGAAAACUCAUGAGUUGGGAGAAGAGGAGGGAGUUUUCACAGGAUUUGCUGUGGAUACCACAACUUAUCUUUGCUGGAGGAAAAGUGAGCUACAUAGCUACAAGAAGGAAAUGGGAGCGCAUGUAUAGCCUAUAAACUGGGAAUCUUGUUUCCCAGGACACUAGAUCCUGGUAACAAUAUUGCUUUGUUAUAAAAAUGUACUUCAGAGAUUAAAUCGAAGCAAUACAAGACAAUUUUAAGGAUCAUACUGCUGAAAGCAGGGGAAUAUCACACAAAGAAGAGCAACAGAUACUGAAAAUAUUUGCCCUGUGGCUUCCAGCUUUUGUUUCUUAAAUAAUCCUUCUCUGAAGCCUAAGAAAACUAUUAAGCUGGACUCACCCCUUCACAGGCCAGACUCAGCAUGCAUGCACUCUGAAACAUCUGCAGUCUCUGACGUAAAGCAACCAGAAACCCUCGUGUUUUAUGAGCCAUUUUGGGCUUUAGGAAACUUCUACUAAAGCACAGCUUUGGUAUUAUAGAAAAAAAAAUUAAGAGUUGCCAAUUUGAGAUGGCCACCAAAGGGGAUUCUAGGAUCAUAACUUUAAGAGAUCUUUUAGGAGUGCACUUAAGAGGUAAUAGAGCUGAGAAAAUGACCUUUCAAAAGUCUCUUAUUCUCCUGAAAUUUCUUUGUCAGUUGCUUUUGCCAGGUAUGUCUACAUGAUGCUUUUGAGAGAAACAGCUGACCCUUGAAGCUAGGAGUCAGAAUACUUUCCACUUCUAUUGUUAUGUUGUUUUUUCUUUUUUUUUUUUUUUUGGAAGAAUUCAAACAUAUAUUCUAGUCACCAGCUGAAGAAUGGAUGCUGGUUUAUAUAAUAAAUGGUAUAAAUUGCUGGUCUGUUCUAUCUGGACAAAAGAAAUGAAAAAGACCUCAGAUAAAAGCCUUUCUUUAUUAAAGAGCCAAAGACAUUUUAGAUCUCAUUUGGCCUUCAUGCCCUCCUCAUUCCUCCUAUCUUCAUCUAGUAGUGCUUUGCUGAUACAGUUAUUAUCCUUUUCAGCUACUCUAAACAUAUGUUAUUAAUUCUGCAUCUGUCUUUCCACCUCCAGCCAUUUUAAUGGUAAAUUCACUGAAAUCCUGCAAGGCUAUAUGCCCCAGGAACAACCUACAUGUUUCUUAUCUGAGUGUACACAGUCUGAAUGGCCCAUUUGAGCCAUUCCUUUCUGGCUCUCUUUGCUCCCUUGGCUUCUCCCUUUUCCUUGCUGCACCUCACCGUCUGCAUCCCUUCUUGUUUCAGGAAGACCAAUUUGUCCCCAUUUAAUGAAUAUUUUGCAAAAAAAAAUCAAGGAAAUAGGAGCUCAGACUUAGAAUUGAAUCCCACCUGUGAAAAGGUUUCAAGACCUAAAUUGAGAUAUGCCAGGGAAUGUCAAUGUUAUAACCUGUUUUUUUGUAUCAUCUAAAAUGCUUGGUCUAGGCUACUGGAGUGAUAAUACUGACUACUUUUAAAAUCCUUGGAUUCAUCUUUGGAGGCUCACUUAAAUAACCCCACACUUCAAUUACUCCUCUAUUUCUCUCUGCAUUAAUAAUCCCCUCACAUUCUCUUUACUACAGUGUUGUUUCAUCUUGUGUUUAUUUGUCCUAGCUAAUUUAGAUAUUAAGUCCUUAGUGACUGACAAUGUGUCUAUCUAUGCAAACUACACUUAAAUAAAUUUAAUAAUAAUUAAUAAUAAAUACUCCAGCUGAAAGCAAUGCAUUUGAGCUAGCAAGGACAACGCUGACAUUGGUGUACUCCAUUUCAGCAGCAGCAUUUGCUGUUCCCCUGCCGCAUCUCCUUGAGUUAAUGGCUGCCGCACUCCGAGCGGUGUCAGGUCUCCCUUUCAAGUUCUCCCCAUCAGAGGGCUGCUCCACCAGCUCUGCCUUGAUCCUUGCCACCAAGCAGUUUGAACUCCAACCUUCUGGGCUAGCACUCUCCUAAAGGUGGUAAAGAAACAAGAGGAGAGCAUGGAAUCAAGUCUGGGGGACAGGAUCCUGCAGAUCUCCAGCAUCUCCCCAAAAUCCCUAUUCACAGCUAGUUCUAGUCUCUUACAGGCAAUUAAGUUGUUGCAUAUUCACAUAAGUGUGAUGUGGAACACAUUAUUUAUUUUUAAUAAUAAUUAUAAUAAUAAUUUUUUCUUUUUGCUUCAGUUCCCUAUAUUUAAAAGACUUGCAAAGAAAGUAAGAGCUUUUGUGAAACAGGCUAUGUAAACACUCAGACUCAUUGAAGCUGGCAGGAAAGAAUUCAUGUGGUGUGCACUAACAAUUGUCUAAGCUAGAACACUAUUUAAUCUGUUAUUCCUGGUGGGCUAUACCUUGUAGAAAAAUAAUAUUAUUACAGAUAUAAUCUUUCAGUUAGUAAUAAAAACUCAGGAGUGGUCUGGCAUAGGAAGUGGAGAACUGAGUCCUUCCUGAGCAGAGGUAAACUGGGCAAAAGCUGUCCUUCAUCUGUCUGCCUGAAGAAUUAUGACUUCUGAUAGAAGCAAGUUAGUCACACUAUAUAUUGCCUUUUUAUUUCACUAUGGGAAGAAGGGAUUACUUUGCAUGCGCUUUCUCUAGUCCAUCCAGUAGCUGGAACUGCAAUAAAUGUCAGGAAAAGAGUUGCUGAAUAAUAAGUAGCAAAAGCAGAAGAAUUAAUGUAAUUCCUAUGAUCCAUCUGAACAAAAAAAUUGUGAUCAGAGGUGGAAACAUCUAUAAUAUGUCCACAGUACGAGUGGUUUUGCUCCUUAUACUCCCAUCAAAACCAGAAUAUUUGGGUGUGAUAUAUUUACUGCUAGGAGUAGCAUUUGUCCCUAGGGGUUCAUUCUCCCUUUUCACCCCUGGGGAAGAGAGGAGAGUGGUCGUGUGCUUUGGUGUUUGUAGAAUGCUUUUCACUUUUACAUAAUGCAUAAAUUCACCUUUGAGGGGAAGACGGGAUGACCUGUGGGAUUGGAUUCUACAGGCUGGAUCUGAAGGCAGUUCUUUUCUCAGGCUGCUCACUUUUCUUCUUACUGUGUAAGGCUUCAUUGCAACAGAGAUUUCUGGGGUUCUUUGAAUAUAAACACUGCAAUCUUGAGCUGACUCAAUACUUUGUGGAAUCAUUGGGGAAAGUAAUAUGAUUUGUUUUCUGUAAUCAGCUAGUAGGUGUCUCUGAAGGUCUGAUUGCUUCAUGUUCAAAUAAAAUGCACUCUUACAGUCCAGAUGGGAGCUAAUGAAAGCAUAUAUAACUAAGAUGGACUUGCUUUGGAUAGUGUCUUUUAACCAAUCAGAGAUAAAAGAAAGCAUUAUUGAUGGUUACAGCUCCUUGGGAGCUCAGUAAGUAUGAGAAAUCCAAACCUAAAUUAAACACUGUAUGCAGGCAGUGUCAAAGAAAGGCUAUUACACAGUGACUAUAAACUUUCUAAAGCGUGCUCCACAGCCUCCAACAUAACCUCUGUGUUUCUCAAGUUCUAGACUGUCCAGUGAUUUUUCAAAUAUGAUCCACUUUUGGCUCAUUUAGUGAUGUGAGUGUAUUUGCACUCUCUUCUCCCUAGCUUUUCUCUUAACAGUAGCAAAGAAGUAGCCACUUACAGGAUCUUUUAUACUUUACGGUGAUGUGUGGCUUAUUACCAGUUUGGGGAUUCAGUCAGUGGUCUUAGUUAUUGCUCAUGUGCAGCUGUUAUUUGAGCAAAGUUGGGGGAUAAUGAAGGCUCUGCAGCACUGAAUGUCAUCACUAGAUUGUUGUCAUCUGUCCCUAUCAUCUCAGCUCCUCAUUUCAUGGCUGCAUGCAGAUGCUGACGAGGCUGUAAGAGAAAACCGUUUCUUGCAGGACUAUAUUUUUAAGAAGUCAGCUGAUAGAUAAGUGAUUUCUUGUUACUACUUGUUAGGUGCUUCUAACCAUGAAAGAAGCAACUAUUUUAGCCCGUUCUUCAUGAUGACUUUCUCUUUCAAGCAGGACGGCAAUACUUGUCAGAUCCAUUCACAGGCUACAUUUGCAGCUUAUCUCUGAGUGUAACAGAGAUCAUAUGCUCACUAUAUUGAAGAUCCUAUAAGCCUUCUGUGAAGCACACAAAUAUUACAUAGUGAUCUUUUAAUUUUUGUUUCUUUUGAAAGCUGUAUAUCAAGUCAGUGUGACUGAGACUCAUCUGCUCAAACAGGUUUGUAGCUGAUCUAAUCACCUUCCCCGAUAAAUUAGGGAAGAAAACUAAGAGUGCAGUAUGUCUUAUACCAAAGCAGAUACCUCAAACAUACAAGAGGUACUGAGACCUGAAUGUCUCAAAAUUAGUGACUUGUUCAGGCCAAAGAACAGGCUGUUCAGGCUUAGGGGACAACGGACGACUAUUUACAGAUUUAUUCAUUAUUAUAAAGAGGAGUAUCAGUAAAUCAGUAUUUUUGUAUUCCCCUGUUUUGAAGUACUUUACAGGAAUUUUUUUUUGUCAUCAUUUGACUUUUUUUUUCCCCUUUUUCCUUUUUGGGAGAGGAGAGACAGGAUUCCCUCAUUUCCAAUUCAAUUGUGACUUCCAUCCAUAUUUUUUAAGUGGCAGUUCUACCCAGGGAUCCCUUAGAAUGGAUGAACUGAAGGGGAGAAAUAAGUUACUCAAACAAAUGCGGUGGGUUUAAUGCAGGGCUAACUGGAUGUUAUUUUAUGAGCAAUACAGAAGGUCAGAGCAGAUGAUUCAGUAGUCCCUUCUAGCCUGAAAAUCUAUUCAAAACCUGAACAAGUUCAUUAAAAACAUAAUAACAUUUCACAGAAAUUACUCUUAAACCCCUAAGAAUUAAACAAUACUCAUUAAUAGCCUUUUUAUGAUGUUUUCACUGUGUACUUCUAGAGCAACAAAUCCCACUAAGAGGGAUAUAUUUCUCUUUAAAUUGAUGAUGUGAUGGGAAAAAAGUCCUCCCUUGAACAAUCAGCCUCAGUAUAACAAGAGAGCUUAUUUUCCAGUGUGGAUGCCUCAUAUGCAUUUGUAAGUAGCAAGAGCAGUAAUUUAGAAAUGAGAGGGGGAUCUCAUUGGAACAUGAAUUUUCAAAGCACCACUGUAUGUAUCAUUUAGACAACCCUUGGCUCUGACCGCUGUGUGCAAAUGCAUAAGCCAAUGUGUGCAGGCAGUGUGAGUCAUUCAAUUUUCCUACUGUAUAAUAAUAAAAAACAAAUGGUGUUGAAGCUAGCAUUUAGGCCUAGAGAAGGAAGCUGUGAUAAUGCCAUGAAUCCUUGCACUCAGGGACUAGCAGUGAUGACAUGCAAAGCUGACACACUGACAGGCAGUCUCUUACUUAAGGGAUAUUGAUAUAAGUCUCAGGCAUACUUAGGUCUCUCUGAAAGUAAUGUCUCCUGUUUAUUUCCAUGGAAAUGACAACAGAUACAAAGAGCACAAUAACACUGUUUGAUACAGCAAAUUCUCAGCUACAAAACAUUAUUUUUCAACAUUUCACCACCUAUGCUACACUCAUCGAAAUCUUCACCAGCAGAGACAACCCACUGUUGCUUUCACCUCUACUGAAACGCACCACCCACUGCCUCACUGUGUUUACAUCUGCAGUUUGGUCUCAAUAAAUGUUCAGCAAGCAUUGAUGAAUGUCAGUGGGUGCCAUUUUUUUUAAAUGGAGGAAGUCAUGACACGCCUUUGUUUCAUACACACUUCUGUGUCAGAUGCCAUUGUGUCAGACUGCCCCUCUGCUGCGAUCUGUCACACAGCAGCAAAAUGUAACGGGAUAUUGAUGGGAAAAUUCAACCUCUACAGCCAUACCACCGACAUCCAUCUCUGACAUUAUAUGCCAACAUAAUAAAAUAAGGAGGCAUUACUUUCAGGGCAUCCCACAUAUUUUUUCAGUCUUAUUUGUAUCUCUUAGCUCCUGCACGCCAACUAAUAACUUUACAAAAAAUGGAUGGUGCUUUAGAACAUACUAACUUAAACAUACAGGAAUUAAACAGAUUUGAAAACAAAUUAAUUCAUCCCGGUUAAUAUCACAGGUUUCUGGCCUUUCUUCCUUCCUCUUAUUCCCCUCAGAUAUAUCUGUUUCACAUUUUGAUGUAAUAUUUUGUACCGUAGAGACAGUAGUUUCAAUUAAUGCUCGUGAAAAAGAGUAGAAACUCAGAAGUGCUGAAAUAUCAUGUGCCUUCCGGCGUUCCCCAUAGCCAAAUGUGCCUAAAGAACUUCCCUUCAUAGAAUACAGCUUCUGCAUCAUCCCUAGUAAGAGUCAUGAUUAAAUGUCCCUUAAUGUAGUUAAGUAACUACUUUACAUACACAAACAUGUUUGAUGUGGAAAAAAAUGCUUUGGAUUGCUUUUAUUAGCAUUACUGCAUGAGGACUGGACAAAGAAUUGUUUUUACAAAUUUUAUUUAUGGUGAGAUGGAGAAAAUAAAGAGUGGAAAGAGAAAAUUAUUUCAAUAAUUUUUAAUAAAAAGGCAAUCAAAUUCAGAUUUACAUUCUCAUUGGAGAUAGUGUGAUGUUCCAAAUUAAGAGAAUUGAGAAUGAUGACUGUCAGAAAUGGAGUAUUAAAUAGACAGGGAAAGAACCAAAUCUCUAAUUCCAUUACAGUAUUCAGGGAAAAUAGCAAAUUCAGUGGCAUAGAAAACAUGGACAUAGAAUCAUAGAAUUGCUCAGGUUGGAAAAGACCUGAAAGGUCAUCAAGUCCAACCACAACCUAACUGUACUAUCCUAACUCUAACUACCCACCACUAAAUCACGUCCCUGAGCACCACAUCCAAAUGGUUUUUGAACACAUUCAGGGAUGGUGACUCAGCCACCUCACUGGGG